This 700-nucleotide ribosomal RNA is filed under the name uncultured Brevundimonas sp. RNAcentral describes it as "bacterial SSU rRNA". It matches the Rfam family "Bacterial small subunit ribosomal RNA", at positions 64 to 810 of the family's 1533-position model. The record is from RNAcentral. Lineage: Bacteria; Pseudomonadati; Pseudomonadota; Alphaproteobacteria; Caulobacterales; Caulobacteraceae.
GAACGGACCCUUCGGGGUUAGUGGCGGACGGGUGAGUAACACGUGGGAACGUGCCUUUAGGUUCGGAAUAGCUCCUGGAAACGGGUGGUAAUGCCGAAUGUGCCCUUCGGGGGAAAGAUUUAUCGCCUUUAGAGCGGCCCGCGUCUGAUUAGCUAGUUGGUGGGGUAAUGGCCCACCAAGGCUACGAUCAGUAGCUGGUCUGAGAGGAUGACCAGCCACAUUGGGACUGAGACACGGCCCAAACUCCUACGGGAGGCAGCAGUGGGGAAUCUUGCGCAAUGGGCGAAAGCCUGACGCAGCCAUGCCGCGUGUAUGAUGAAGGUCUUAGGAUUGUAAAAUACUUUCACCGGUGAAGAUAAUGACUGUAGCCGGAGAAGAAGCCCCGGCUAACUUCGUGCCAGCAGCCGCGGUAAUACGAAGGGGGCUAGCGUUGCUCGGAAUUACUGGGCGUAAAGGGAGCGUAGGCGGACAUUUAAGUCAGAGGUGAAAUCCCGGAGCUUAACUUCGGAACUGCCUUUGAUACUGGGUGUCUUGAGUGUGAGAGAGGUAUGUGGAACUCCGAGUGUAGAGGUGAAAUUCGUAGAUAUUCGGAAGAACACCAGUGGCGAAGGCGACAUACUGGCUCAUUACUGACGCUGAGGCUCGAAAGCGUGGGGAGCAAACAGGAUUAGAUACCCUGGUAGUCCACGCCGUAAACGAU